Equus caballus (horse) is the source of this 2748-nucleotide long non-coding RNA. The record is from Ensembl. NCBI's taxonomy places the organism in Eukaryota, Metazoa, Chordata, Mammalia, Perissodactyla, Equidae.
GGUACAUGUCCCAAGUGGUUCAGGUUAAUGCCUCCCAACAUUUUUUAGUUUAAAACCUCAGAAAGACUCCAAAACACCAUCUCCUUAGGUUUAACCCUAACUCAAGAUUAAGAGCCCAUGGUCUCUCCACUCCACCAAUCUCAUUAUCUGCAGGUGUUGUGUUGGGCGCCAUGAGGAAAAGAGAGAGGCCCUGCCUCUUGAGCUCCAUCUCAGCUCUCCUUCCACUCUGCUAGCUUUGCUAACAUCUCUUCAGCCUUCAAAACCCCAACUACUACCUCAUCUGGGAAGCCUUCUUGACUACCCCACCUCCAUCACGACCACUUUGGAGUUCACCUGCCCUCCUCCGGGCCUCCUGGGCCUCACACAGGCCUCAGUCAGCCCCCAUCACCCGCUGUAGGGCAAGUAACCUGUCUACACAGCUGCUCCUCCUCGGCACUCUGAGCACCUUCAAGGUCUAACGAUCCAGAGAGUUCCAGAAUGGAUUCAUGUGACUUGGCCUUUUUGGAACUGGACCACCUUGGAGAUCAUCUGGGAGAGGGCACUGAGACCUGCAGAAAUGGAAUGGCCUACCCAGGACACAUCUAGAAGAUUAAGAGACACUGGGGUAACAUAGGGAUGCUGGACUGGGAGUCCUAGACCUCCUGGUCCUGGCUCUACCAUGACGCAUGCUGCCCUGCUGAGCCCACGCCUUUGCCCCUGGGACGCAGAACAUGCCAGGCAGGCAUCUCCCACCUGCCUCUCCAUGCGGGCAGGGAGACUAGCCCUCACUGAGUCCCGAGCUCUGGGACACAAGCUUUACCUCCCUCGUUUUAUUUGAUCCUCCCAACAAGCCUGUGUCAUCUUACAGGUGAGAAAACCGAGGCCUGGAGAAGUCCAAGAAUUCUCCUAAACUCAUCUAGCUAAUGGUAGUGCUGGGUUUCAAACCAGCUUCCUCUGACUCCCAAGCCCAAGCCCUCUCCAUUCCACCAACAGGCCCCUGAUCUCUGCGGCCCAGGUUCCUCCACAUCUAGCUCUCCUGGGACCUCAAGGUAGCAGACGUCAGUGCGCGUUGCUGCUGAGUCCGGUGCUCACCAUUAGGCAGACAAGGAGACCCGAGUGGUGCAGGCCUGAGGCCCUCCACACUAAGGAAGGCGGGCGUAAGCAGAGUGGGGAAGAGGCCACUGUCGACAGCUCUCCUCUGGGGCACCGAAUCUCAGGGGCACAACAAAAGAGAGGGAGCUGUUUAAUAAUUACAGCUGUCUUGUUCAGAGUGACAGGGAGAGAAAUAUUGCUGGGGAGGAAAGCAUAAAAGAAAGAGGCAAAGGAGGACUGGAGUAGCCUUCAGGGAGGGUUGCAUGGAGCCAAGGAGGGCGCGAAGGUCCAUGGUGAGCCCUGGCGUCCAGCAGGUGAGCCUCCUGCUGCCUGCUGCUUUCCUCCAUCCCGCACCCCUCAACAGCUGCCCCGGAUGCUGCAUGUCUGCAGGCCACAGGCCUGCUCCCAAGGAUGCCCGCGUCCACGCAGGAGGAGCAGGGACCCGCCCUCCUCUCUCGGAUCUCUGUUCUUUUUAUAACCAAGCUUGCAAGCAGCAAGGGAUAAGCUGAGCCAUUAGAAGGGUCUCACCCCAGCUCCUGUCUUGGUCCCUGCAGCUGGUCAGAGGCUUCUGCAGCCACUGGAACAUUGCUGUCUGGACCCUGCCCCCACCCCCAGCAGCCUGGGCGGUCCACUGCUUUACCUCAUCCCGUUUCCAUGAAUACCGGGUGCUCAGCAAGGACAGGGGAGCCCACUGAUGGAACCCUGAGGGUCUCCUCUCUAGUUGUGAGCCAGCUUCGAAGGUGACAGAUGAGCUAAUUAACCCCAGGAGCCACCAGGCCCGCCCCUCCCUGUCUUGUUCAUCCCAGCUCCUCCCAACCCAUCUUUCUGGCCCAGACCCCGUAUCUUCGUUGCAGCCUCAAAUAGCUGUGUUUCCGAAAUGUAAAGUGCGGUUUCUCUUCUAAUUACAAAAAUAACAGCUGACAAACACGUGCCAGAGCUCCCCUCUUUUUCUCCUGAGCUAACAGCCCCAUUAGGACAGAUCCUGUUAUCGUCUAUGCCCUCUCCAUAUAUUUUAUGGAACAGCCUCAAAAGUGCUCUGCGUCGGGCUCUCCCUCCCUCUCUUUCUUUUUCAAGGCAAUGGCUUUGUGAAAGCUGAGGGGAAAAAUAAAGCCUUUUACUAAAAUGUCACUCUGGGAAAAGGGGGGAAAUUUCCUAAUAGGCCAUGGAAGGCUUGCUUUUUUUUUUUAAGUGUGAUAAAUUUGGCCUGUCUUAAAAAGACAGCUCACUGUUGCUUAUCAACUGUGAUUUGACCAGAUAGCCGUUUCAAAAAAUAGACACUGGUCUUUUUAUAAUAAAUGAAAGCAAUAAAACCAAGAGCUGGGCCAGAACUAUAAUUAAGAAUCAGAAGCUGAAAAGGGUGGGUGUGUCACUGCAGGGCAGAGUCCAGUCAUGGGCAGGAGGAGUGGGCCAGGCUGGCCGGGAGGCCUGGGGACAACCCCCAUCCCAAGGGGAGGUGCCUCUGUUGUCCCCACUCUCCCCUUCUUUUUCCUUCUCAUUUUGGGAGAGUUCCUUCCCUGGGCAGAUGGACAGAUGGGCCCGGGGGUGGGGAGGAUGGCCGAGGAGGGGCUCAUCGCCCACCCCCUACGCCAAAUCCAGCGCCUAUUUGAAACGCAGCCAGAAAUCCCCCUCCCUGCUCUGUCUGUGCACAAUAAACGUCCCAGACUCGCUACUCCUAAA